RNAcentral lists this ribosomal RNA (424 nucleotides) under Verrucomicrobiota bacterium. RNAcentral describes it as "Verrucomicrobia bacterium partial 16S ribosomal RNA". It matches the Rfam family "Bacterial small subunit ribosomal RNA", at positions 355 to 776 of the family's 1533-position model. The record is from RNAcentral. Lineage: Bacteria; Pseudomonadati; Verrucomicrobiota.
UGAGGAAUAUUGGUCAAUGGACGGAAGUCUGAACCAGCCAAGUAGCGUGCAGGAUGACGGCCCUAUGGGUUGUAAACUGCUUUUGUAUGGGGAUAAAGUUAGGGACGUGUCCCUAUUUGCAGGUACCAUACGAAUAAGGACCGGCUAAUUCCGUGCCAGCAGCCGCGGUAAUACGGAAGGUCCAGGCGUUAUCCGGAUUUAUUGGGUUUAAAGGGAGCGUAGGCUGGAGAUUAAGUGUGUUGUGAAAUGUAGACGCUCAACGUCUGAAUUGCAGCGCAUACUGGUUUCCUUGAGUACGCACAACGUUGGCGGAAUUCGUCGUGUAGCGGUGAAAUGCUUAGAUAUGACGAAGAACUCCGAUUGCGAAGGCAGCUGACGGGGGCGCAACUGACGCUUAAGCUCGAAGGUGCGGGUAUCAAACAGG